Molecule: ribosomal RNA, 253 nt
Filed under: uncultured bacterium
Lineage: Bacteria
Description: partial 16S ribosomal RNA
Rfam family: Bacterial small subunit ribosomal RNA
Source: RNAcentral
UACGGCGGGUGCAAGCGUUAUCCGGAUUCACUGGGUUUAAAGGGUGCGUAGGUGGGCAGGUAAGUCAGUGGUGAAAUCUCCGGGCUUAGCCCGGAAACUGCCGUUGAUACUAUUUGUCUUGAAUAUAGUGGAGGUGAGCGGAAUAUGUCAUGUAGCGGUGAAAUGCUUAGAUAUGACAUAGAACAUCGAUUGCGAAGGCAGCUCGCUACACUAUUAUUGACACUGAGGCACGAAAGCGUGGGGAUCAAACAGG